AUACGUAGGGGGCAAGCGUUAUCCGGAUUUACUGGGUGUAAAGGGAGCGUAGGCGGGAGUGCAAGUCAGAUGUGAAAUACAUGGGCUCAACCCAUGGGCUGCAUUUGAAACUGCAUUUCUUGAGUGAAGUAGAGGUAAGCGGAAUUCCUGGUGUAGCGGUGAAAUGCGUAGAUAUCAGGAGGAACACCGGUGGCGAAGGCGGCUUACUGGGCUUUUACUGACGCUGAGGCUCGAAAGCGUGGGGAGCAAACAGGAUUAGAUACCCUGGUAGUCCACGCUGUAAACGAUGAUUACUAGGUGUGGGGGGACUGACCCCUUCCGUGCCGCAGUUAACACAAUAAGUAAUCCACCUGGAGAGUACGGCCGCAAGGUUGAAACUCAAAUGAAUUGACGGGG
Molecule: ribosomal RNA, 396 nt
Filed under: uncultured bacterium
Lineage: Bacteria
Description: partial 16S ribosomal RNA
Rfam family: Bacterial small subunit ribosomal RNA
Source: RNAcentral